Molecule: ribozyme, 77 nt
Filed under: Crocodylus porosus (Australian saltwater crocodile)
Lineage: Eukaryota; Metazoa; Chordata; Crocodylia; Crocodylidae
Description: Mammalian CPEB3 ribozyme (ENSCPRG00005018380.1)
Rfam family: Mammalian CPEB3 ribozyme
About the family: The mammalian CPEB3 ribozyme is a self cleaving RNA located in the second intron of the CPEB3 gene which belongs to a family of genes regulating messenger RNA polyadenylation. This ribozyme is highly conserved and found only in mammals.
Source: Rfam by way of RNAcentral
AGAGGUCAAGUUUAAGGCCAUAGCAGAAGUGUUCAGGCAUGGCCAAAUCAGAUCCUAAUGAAUCUGUAAAUUCUGCU